This 1496-nucleotide long non-coding RNA is filed under the name Prunus persica (peach). Its description in RNAcentral is "long non-coding RNA (PPER_LNC000879)". The record is from RNAcentral. Lineage: Eukaryota; Viridiplantae; Streptophyta; Magnoliopsida; Rosales; Rosaceae.
GAGGGUAUGGAGGUGGAAUGUACGGAUCUUCUGGGAUGUAUGGAGGUGGAAUGUACAAUAGUGGUCUUGGAAGCCAGAUGGGUGGUAUUGGAAUGGGCAUGGGUGGCCCUUAUGGAGGUCAAGAUCCAAAUGAUCCAUAUGGUGGUCCUCCAUCUCCACCAGGGUUUUGGAUUUCAGUACUUCGGGUGGUAAGCAUUUUGUGUUUUUACUUGUUUAUACUGUCAUAUUCUAUGGAUCAAAAAUGCAUAAUAUAAUAAACAAAUGUAUUAUGAAAGUAGUAAGGUAUAAUAGACUCUCAAGCUUUCUAAAUGAAUGUGUCAAAAUUAGUAUAACAUGAAUCAUAUUGUUUGCCGGUUUACCUUGUUUUCUGGAGCCUGCUUAUAGGGCAUCUGUAACUCUUUUCUUUUGGAUGGGGAUUGGUAGAACAAGAAAGGGAUGUGCUUUUUAACACCCCCUAUAAUAAUAAAUAAAAAAAUUAAUUAGAGUUAUUUUGGAAUUUUGGUGACUUUCAUAUGAUUACUUAUUCUCAAUUUUUCCUUUUAUGGCAGACGCAAGGUGUGGUAAACUUUUUUGGUCGAAUUGCAAUUCUCAUAGACCAGAACACCCAGGCAUUCCAUAUGUUCAUGUCUGCACUUCUUCAGGUAAUCAUCUGUCAAUGCAUCUCUUUAUUUGUCGUCGGUGUAGAAUCAAAUUUUGUUCAACACUUGUGAAAUGAAUUAUUUCUUAGAGAAGCCCAUCAUUUUCAAUCCUAGGCAUGGAGCAUGCAGUAGAGAUUCUAAAGUCUGACAUAUUUUAACCGGAAGUUUAAUGUGGUGGUUUAGAAUAUCUGGCAAUCUUACUUUUUGGUUACAUCUUGCCACCUUCCUUUAGCAGAUGAUAUUGAAAUGGCAACUGGAGGAAUUCCCAUGUAUAAGUUGCUGUAACUUUCAUGCAAAAAGCACAGAAAGUUCCUUUAUCUUAUUAAAGAUGUGGUGACCGGUUUGAUAGCGCUUUCAUAUCCUCGCUUCUUCGGGGUGGAAUGGAAAACCAAUGGCCAUAGCUUUGGAAUUAUUUUGCAACUUCUUAGCUCCAUUUAAGCAUUUUCUAACUGGUUGUCAAUACUUUGGUGCAGCUUUUUGAUCGCUCUGGAUUAUUGUAUGGAGAGCUGGCUAGAUUUGUAUUAAGGAUACUGGGAGUUAAAACAAAACCCAAUAAGGUUCAUCCACAAGGUCCCAACGGGGGUCCUCUCCAUGGACCCCAUGGACCCCAUGGACCCCAGAACUACAUCGAGGGUCCAAGACCUGCUCCGAGUGGUGGUUGGGACAAUGUUUGGGAAAAUGAUACCAGUAAAUGAUGGGACUUUACAAAACAGUGUCAUCUUGCUUGCCCCCCUGUGAAUCUUGCUUGCAUUUAGAGAACCAGAAAAGGAGAAAAGGAUCUCUUCCAACCCCAAUUUGAGUGAACGGAAAUGCCAAUAUGAAUGUUGAUGUGGUGUCAUGUAGUCUCUGCAGCUCGUG